RNAcentral lists this long non-coding RNA (378 nucleotides) under Malus domestica (apple). RNAcentral's name for it is "long non-coding RNA (MDOM_LNC005576)". The record is from RNAcentral. Lineage: Eukaryota; Viridiplantae; Streptophyta; Magnoliopsida; Rosales; Rosaceae.
UAGGCGGAGCUGAGCGAUUUUUUAUUUUUUAUUUUUUGAAACCAAUUUCAGAAACCAAGUCUCGUCGUCCACUUCGUCUCUUUUUCCUCAACUGCAGUGCACUCACCCGCUGCAACUUCGAGAGGUUUUCUGGGCCAUCGUCUUCGAUCAUCUCUCUUAGUUUCCACGGUUUCCAUUCUUGUUGGCGUUGAAGGCUCUGCAACUCUUCCCGUCUUGAACUCUCAUCGGAUCUGCAACUCUAACUCUCGCAUCUGCAUCGAAACUCCCAUAUGUGUCUGCAUCUAAAUAUAGCCAUGGUUGCUUUCCUAGAGGUUUCUGGAAAAAGAACAAGCGAGAGAGAGAGAGAGAGAGAGAGACUAAAAGAGUGCUAGAGGUUUC